GUGCCAGCAGCCGCGGUAAGACAGAGGUGCCGAGCGUUAGGCGGAAUCACUGGGCUUAAAGCGUGUGUAGGCGGGUCCGUAAGUACCUUGUGAAAUCCCACGGCUCAACCGUGGAACUGCUUGGUAUACUGCGGGUCUUGAGCCACCUAGGGGCAAGCGGAACAAACGGUGGAGCGGUGAAAUGCGUAGAUAUCGUUUGGAACGCCAAUGGUGAAAACAGCUUGCUGGGGGUGUGCUGACGCUGAGACACGAAAGCCAGGGGAGCAAACGGGAUUAGAUACCCCCGUAGUCC
Molecule: ribosomal RNA, 292 nt
Filed under: uncultured bacterium
Lineage: Bacteria
Description: partial 16S ribosomal RNA
Rfam family: Bacterial small subunit ribosomal RNA
Source: RNAcentral